AUACGUAGGUGGCGAGCGUUGUCCGGAAUUACUGGGUGUAAAGGGUGCGUAGGCGGAUAAUCAAGUCAGAUGUGAAAGUCCAUGGCUUAACUGUGGGAGUGCAUUUGAGACUGAAGAUCUAGAGUGCAGGAGAGGGAAGCGGAAUUCCUAGUGUAGCGGUGAAAUGCGUAGAUAUUAGGAAGAACACCAGUGGCGAAGGCGGCUUUCUGGACUGAAACUGACGCUGAAGCACGAAAGCGUGGGGAGCAAACAGGAUUAGAUACCCUGGUAGUCCACGCUGUAAACGAUGAGUAUUAGGUGUAGGGGACGAUAGUCUUCUGUGCCGGAGCAAACGCAAUAAAUACUCCGCCUGGGGAGUACGGUCACAAGACUAAA
This 375-nucleotide ribosomal RNA is filed under the name uncultured bacterium. Its description in RNAcentral is "bacterial SSU rRNA". It matches the Rfam family "Bacterial small subunit ribosomal RNA", at positions 523 to 898 of the family's 1533-position model. The record is from RNAcentral.